RNAcentral lists this ribosomal RNA (24 nucleotides) under Pratylenchus neglectus. RNAcentral describes it as "partial 28S ribosomal RNA". RNAcentral also lists the same sequence under 2 other names. The record is from RNAcentral. Lineage: Eukaryota; Metazoa; Nematoda; Chromadorea; Rhabditida; Pratylenchidae.
UUCGACCUGAACUCAGGCGUGAGU